Molecule: long non-coding RNA, 743 nt
Filed under: Volvox carteri
Lineage: Eukaryota; Viridiplantae; Chlorophyta; Chlorophyceae; Chlamydomonadales; Volvocaceae
Description: long non-coding RNA (VCAR_LNC001407)
Source: RNAcentral
GGGAGUGCGGUAACAAUGGUUGCUGCAUGUUUCCUGCCGUACAGCAAAAGCCGUCGCACUCCUUUAAGUCCAGGACGCCUCCAUUAAAGUUGUUGUUGAGUAUGUAGAGCUGGUGCCGUAUGUUGGGUCCUUCGGGCUGUACGUGCUUUCCCACCCCCGCUCUGUCGGUGGGGGAGAACCUGUGUACAGUUAUCCUGGUACAGCUGAGGACCGGGUGGUAGCGGGGUGCCCUUCAUCUGUAUGCGGUCUGUCUGCGUGUUGCUUCUUUGCAGCAGACCAUUUACAGGGACCGCUAUAUCUCAAAAAAGGAAUCUAAAGGGUGAUUUGAUCUUUGGGGCUUAAUGACCCUAAGGGGUUUUGUGUCGGAAAUGGAGGCAAACUGUCAAGCUGGUUAAGCUGACAGACUCAGGAGGGUCAGCACGCUUUGGGCUUGAAAUGUGUGUUGGUGUGAUACGGUAGCUGUCAACCACUUGUGCCAACACACCAGGCGACACCGCGACUAUCCAUAGCUGAUGACACGCGGUGGCCUGACCAGGCGGCUGGCUGAAUAUGGUUCCCUUUUCCACGCACCUUUGCGCGCCAACCUUUCGCACCUACGCGCUUCAUCUGGGGAAUCAGAGUUGGCGCACCUGUCUUUUGGUUUCAGCGACUUGGCAUUGGCGAGGUUUCGCGCGGAUGCCGUCCCGCUUCCUGCUCAGCAGGAAACUGCACUAGCAGACAUGUCGAAAGAGUAGUUAAGUGUC